Bos taurus (domestic cattle) is the source of this 1422-nucleotide long non-coding RNA. The record is from Ensembl. Lineage: Eukaryota; Metazoa; Chordata; Mammalia; Artiodactyla; Bovidae.
CUUAUUCACCCAUCAUUGAGACCACCCAGAAUCAAUCUCAUCCUUAAGCCUUCAGGGAUUUGAGUGAAGUUCUUCUGUUUUUCCCUACUGAGACUCCUCUUCUCCAACCCCAAACUGUUCUUUCUCAUUAAGACAUGUUUCAAGCUCUUGCCCCAUCUUACUCUCUUACUCACCCUCUCCAGAUAUAAUCGUUUUCUAAGGCCCUAAACAAUGUUCCAAGUGUAGUCUGACCAGGGAGGAGUUAGGUAGAUAGCCACCUCCAUUGUUCUAGGUGAUAUAUCUCUUUUAAUGCAUCCUAAGAUCACAGUGCCAUUUUUGGAAUCUAUUCCAAAAAUCUCCAAGGUCUCUGGUAGGAAUCAGGUACCAUAAGCUGCUACAAAGAGAUGACGUUGUAAUUCCCGUGCUAUAGCAGAGUAAACUGAAGCUUGGAGAGGAGUGACCUGCUGGUGAGCAUCUAUCCAGUUACUCAGGGUUCUCCUGUCUCCAAACCUCAAGUUCUCCCCUCCUUUAACCAAGACAUUUUGGUCUCUCAGUUUCUUCAUCUGAAAAAUGCAGAAACUGGAUCUCUCCCAGCUCUGGCAUGCUCUGACUUGUCUUCUAAAUGCAGAGUCCAAAAGCCAAAGGGUGAACAGAACAAAGAAGCCUUGUGCCUAGAUCUAAAACUCCCAAGAGAAACAAAAAAGCUCCCUUUUCUACUCCUCAUCCCAGCCUUACCUACUCUGGAAACUUGGGAUUAAGUGAUGCAUGCUGUUGGUUAAUGGUAGUUCUAAAUUUGACAGUCGAGCCUCUGGGCUGCAGCAGUACAACUUUCUUGGCAAGUCAGCCCACAUCAUCUCUCCUAUUUCUUCCCUGUUCUCACUCCAUAAAAGUAUGUCUCACUGCACAUCCCAUUUUCAAAAUAUUUUUUCGUCUCACUCCCGUAGCAAGCCAAAUAACACUCUCCCAAAAUGCCUUUAAAACAAGAACACAGAGUCCUCCCUAAGCCCCAGGUGCAAAAUGGAUUUCGGAAAGCCGCUCUUCUUCUGGCCCUGUGUUCUCAUGCCAGGAGCACUGCCCCAGGGCUGUCUCAAAAGCUUCAUCCUUCACUAUGUUCUCAGUAACAUCUUCUCCCUGGGUACGUGUGCCCGCUGGUGCCCCACCUGUUUUUCUCCUGGUGGGAGAGGCACAGAGUCACAAUGUAAGGAACACAGUGGGUGUCACCAUCCACAUGCGACAGGAUGGGUCUCCUUCAGAUGGCUCCUCCAUCCCUUCUGACCAUACAGCUGCCCCAGCUUUUAACCAGAUAUAUCUGGUCCUGCGGUGGACAAAGCUCAAGCUCAGGCUCAGAUUCCCGCCACAGCCCAUACGAACACAAGCAGCACUAACCUUCGUCCUAAUUUCUUUGCAGGAGGAGGUGUAUAUAUCCCCAGGACCUGGUCCCAA